GCUUGUUUAGUGAAAGACCCAAAGAAACGUCACUCUUCUAAAAAGCUAUUGAAGCACCCUUUCUUCAAGCAUGCAAAAACAGCUGAUUAUUUGGAACGUACUAUUCUUGAUGGACUUUCUCCCUUAGAUGAUCGUUUUAGGAUGCUAAAGGCCAAAGAAGCCGAUCUUAUUGUACAGAACAAGGAUUUAUAUGGAGAUAAGGAACAUUUAUCACAGCAAGAGUAUAUACGAGGAAUUAGCGUGUGGAACUUUAACUUGGAGGAUUUAAAGAAUCAGGCUGCGCUUUUAUGUGUUCAAAUAUAAG
Molecule: RNA transcript, 304 nt
Organism: Lactuca sativa (garden lettuce)
Lineage: Eukaryota; Viridiplantae; Streptophyta; Magnoliopsida; Asterales; Asteraceae
Source: RefSeq, a predicted model, not a curated record